CCUACGGGUGACUGCAGUGGGGAAUAUUGCACAAUGGGGGGAAGCCUGAUGCAGCAAUGCCGCGUGGGUGAAGAAGGACUCCGGUGCGUAAAGCCCUGUCAGCAGGGAAGAAAAUGACAGUACCUGGACAAGACGCCCCGGCUAACUACGUGCCAGCAGCCGCGGGUACACGGAGGGGGCAAGCGUUAUCCGGAUUUACUGGGUGUAAAGGGAGCGCAGGCGGCGUGGCAAGUCCGGUGUGAAAACCCAGGGCCAAACCCCGGGAGUGCAUUUGAAACUGCCAUGCUGGAGUGCCGGAGAGGUAAGCGGAAUGCCUGGUGUAGCGGUGAAAUGCGUAGAUAUUAGGAAGAACACCAGUUGCGGAGGCGGCUUACUGGACGGUAACUGACGCUGAUGCUCGAAAGCGUGGGUAGCAAACAGGAUUAGAUACCCCUGUAGUC
Molecule: ribosomal RNA, 440 nt
Filed under: uncultured bacterium
Lineage: Bacteria
Description: partial 16S ribosomal RNA
Rfam family: Bacterial small subunit ribosomal RNA
Source: RNAcentral